AGAGUUUGAUCCUGGCUCAAAUUGAACGCUGGCGGCAGGCCUAACACAUGCAAGUCUAACGGUAGCACAGAGAGCUUGCUCUCGGGUGACGAGUGGCGGACGGGUGAGUAAUGUCUGGGAAACUGCCUGAUGGAGGGGGAUAACUACUGGAAACGGUAGCUAUUACCGCAUAACGUCGCAAGACCAAAGAGGGGGACCUUCAGGCCUCUUGCCAUCGGAUGUGCCCAGAUGGGAUUAGCUAGUAGGUGGGGUAAUGGCUCACCUAGGCGACGAUCCCUAGCUGGUCUGAGAGGAUGACCAGCCACACUGGAACUGAGACACGGUCCAGACUCCUACGGGAGGCAGCAGUGGGGAAUAUUGCACAAUGGGCGCAAGCCUGAUGCAGGCAUGCCGCGUGUAUGAAGAAGGCCUUCGGGUUGUAAAGUACUUUCAGCGAGGAGGAAGGCAUUGUGGUUAAUAACCGCAGUGAUUGACGUUACUCGCAGAAGAAGCACCGGCUAACUCCGUGCCAGCAGCCGCGGUAAUACGGAGGGUGCAAGCGUUAAUCGGAAUUACUGGGCGUAAAGCGCACGCAGGCGGUCUGUUAAGUCAGAUGUGAAAUCCCCGGGCUCAACCUGGGAACUGCAUUUGAGACUGGCAGGCUCGAGUCUUGUAGAGGGGGGUUGAAUUCCAGGUGUAGCGGUGGAAUGCGUAGAGAUCUGGAGGAAUACCGGUGGCGAAGGCGGCCCCCUGGACAAAGACUGACGCUCAGGUGCGAAAGCGUGGGGAGCAAACAAGAUUAGAUACCCUGGUAGUCCACGCCGUAAACGAUGUCGACUUGGAGGUUGUGCCCUUGAGGCGUGGCUUCCGGAGCUAACGCGUCAAGUCGACCGCCUGGGGAGUACGGCCGCAAGGUUAAAACUCAAAUGAAUUGACGGGGGGCCGCACAAGCGGUGGAGCAUGUGGUUUAA
RNAcentral lists this ribosomal RNA (950 nucleotides) under uncultured Gammaproteobacteria bacterium. RNAcentral describes it as "bacterial SSU rRNA". It matches the Rfam family "Bacterial small subunit ribosomal RNA", at positions 8 to 949 of the family's 1533-position model. The record is from RNAcentral. Lineage: Bacteria; Pseudomonadati; Pseudomonadota; Gammaproteobacteria.